This 612-nucleotide ribosomal RNA is filed under the name Eiseniella tetraedra. RNAcentral describes it as "partial large subunit ribosomal RNA". The stretch from base 1 to 501 matches the Rfam family "Bacterial large subunit ribosomal RNA", at positions 1922 to 2925 of the family's 2925-position model. Lineage: Eukaryota; Metazoa; Annelida; Clitellata; Crassiclitellata; Lumbricidae. The record is from RNAcentral.
GUUCAACGGCCGCGGUAUCCUAACCGUGCAAAGGUAGCAUAAUCACUUGCCCAUUAAUUGUGGGCUAGAAUGAAAGGACCAACGAAAUAAAGACUGUCUCUAUAAGCAAAUUAAAAAUUAAUCUCUAACUGAAGAGUGUUAGAUUAUGUCGAAGGACAAGAAGACCCUAUAGAGCUUAAUUCUAAUAAAAAUACAUGUUUUAAUAAAAUUCGGUUGGGGCGACCAGGGAAUAAAAAUCAUCCCUAUUCAAAAGAUUUAUAAAUCUUUAAAAUGACCCUUAAACAAGACCAUAAAAACAAGCUACCUUAGGGGUAACAGGCUAAUCCCACUAAAGAGUUCUUAUCAAUAGUGGGGGUUGGCACCUCGAUGUUGGCUUAGGGAAUCUAUACGGCGCAAAAGUCGUAUAAAGAUGGUUUGUUCAACCAAUAACCCCUACAUGAGCUGAGUUCAGACCGGCGUAAGCCAGGUUAGUUUCUAUCCUCGAUAAAAAUACCUAUUUAUAGUACGAAAGGACCUAAAUAAGGGUAACAGUUACAAUAAAAGAAUAAAUAUAAAAAAUUAAUAUUUAGAAGAUUCAUAAACUAUGAUAGUGAGUUGGCAGAAUAGUGCCAC